GAACUUAAGCAUAUCAAUAAGGCGAGGAACAGAAACCAACAGGGAUUCCCUCAGUAGUGGCGAAUGAAGCGGGAAAAGCUCAAGUUUGAAAUCUGGCGGGUGACCUCCAGAGUUGUAAGCUGACGAGGCGUCGACCGACGCGGGCUCGGGUUCAAUUUCCUUGGAACAGGAGGUCUCAGAGGGUGAGAACCCCGUCUGUGACUCGAGAUCCGUCGUCCUUGUGUCGUGCCCUCCAAGAGUCGGGUUGUUUGGGAAUGCAGCUCAAAAUGGGUGGUAAAUUCCAUCUAAAGCUAAAUACUGGCGAGAGACCGAUAGGAAACAAGUAGAGUGAUCGAAAGGUGAAAAGUACUUUGAAAAGAGAGUGAAACAGUACGUGAAAUUGUUGAAAGGGAAGCGCUUGGCAUCAGCCCUUGGCGUCGGUCCAUCAACUCGGCUUCUGUCGGGUGCACUGGUCUGACGUCGGGCCAGCGUCGGCUUUGCCUGCCGGAGAAAGGUUCGGGGGAUGUGGCUCCUCUCGGGGAGCGUUAUAACCCUGGGCGUCAUGCGGUGCGGCGAGGCCGAGGUCUGCGGAUUUUAUCCUAGGACGCUGGCGUAAUGGUUCCAAGCGACCCGUCUUGAAACACGGACCAAGGAGUCUAACAUCUAUGCGAGUGUUUGGGUGUCAAGCCCAUACGCACAAUGAAAGUGAAAGCUGGCGGGAGCCUUUAGAGGGCGCACCGUCGACCGGUCCGGGGGUUUACCGAAGGAUCCGAGUGAGAGCAUAGCUGUUGGGACCCGAAA
This 780-nucleotide ribosomal RNA is filed under the name uncultured fungus. RNAcentral's name for it is "eukaryotic LSU rRNA". It matches the Rfam family "Eukaryotic large subunit ribosomal RNA", at positions 30 to 821 of the family's 3401-position model. Lineage: Eukaryota; Fungi. The record is from RNAcentral.